Mirounga angustirostris (Northern elephant seal) is the source of this 927-nucleotide long non-coding RNA. RefSeq lists it as uncharacterized. The transcript has 3 exons. NCBI's taxonomy places the organism in Eukaryota, Metazoa, Chordata, Mammalia, Carnivora, Phocidae. The record is from RefSeq and is a predicted model, not a curated record.
AGACACAGCAAGAGAAGGAACACAAGCAGGGGGAGUGGGAGAGGGAGAAGCAGGCUUCCUGCUGAGCAGGGAGCCCGAUGCAGGGCUCGAACCCAGGACCUUGGGAUCAUGACCUGAGCCAAAGGCAGAAGCUUAACGACUGAGCCACCCAGGUGCCUCUGAUAAUGGCCAAACUCUUGACUCGAUUUUAGUUUGAUGCUUGGAGUUUUGUAGUUUUCCCUGAGUUCUGCUUCUCUUCACCGUCCCUUGAACAGAGUAGCUAUAUUGUGCUCAUCUCUCCUCUUUCGUCUCUGACCACCCCCUUUCUCCUCCUCCUUGAAGAGAAGUUGAGCGUGUGCCUGUUUUCUAAACACUCAGCAUCAAUGACCUCAUGCAAUUUUUUCAGUGACCUUGUGAACUCUUGGAAUUUGGGGACACAAUGUUCUCAAGUGCUGAAUAACUGCUUUCAUCAGACGUCUUGAUGUAUGAAUCUCUGUAUCAUGUCCAAAGUAAGACGUCAGUCAGUUACCCAGAAUUACAUUCAUUCAAUUCACCAACUUAGGGGAAAAGGAGAAAAUAUAAGAUGAAACAGAAUAUGUGAUUAUUGGGUUGCUCUUCCACAGGGAUGCUGCCUCCUCAAACCAGCAUACAUCUUCCUAGGGAUCUAACCUUUUCGGUGAGGACAGCCAUCUCUCUGUGUAGCUGUGUCUUACUGGGACCGUGCUCUUCAUGAUACCUGCCACCAAAUAUUUUGAUUCUGAGGGGAAGUGCAUCAGAAGGAGUCUAGCUGAAUGGGCCUGGGGGUAAUAAUGAGAUGAUAUGUCCAAGAUAUGGUAUCACUCCUCCUGCUGGCUAUAGAGAAUUAGAAAGAACACAAAGCAAUUACAGGUUCAAAUACAAGGUCAAAAUUGGGAAGAAUAUAAAGCAACAGGAUUGAUAUGCAAGGUA